This 524-nucleotide ribosomal RNA is filed under the name uncultured bacterium. Its description in RNAcentral is "partial 16S ribosomal RNA". It matches the Rfam family "Bacterial small subunit ribosomal RNA", at positions 28 to 523 of the family's 1533-position model. The record is from RNAcentral.
GACGAACGCUGGCGGCGUGCCUAAUACAUGCAAGUCGAGCGCAGGAAAUCGACGGAACCCUUCGGGGGGAAGUCGACGGAAUGAGCGGCGGACGGGUGAGUAACACGUAAAGAACCUGCCCUCAGGUCUGGGAUAACCACGAGAAAUCGGGGCUAAUACCGGAUGGGUCAUCGGACCGCAUGGUCCGAGGAUGAAAGGCGCUUCGGCGUCGCCUGGGGAUGGCUUUGCGGUGCAUUAGCUAGUUGGUGGGGUACUGGCCCACCAAGGCGACGAGGCAUAGCCGACCUGGGAGGGUGAUCGGCCACACUGGGACUGAGACACGGCCCGGACUCCUACGGGAGGCAGCAGUAGGGAAUCUUCCACAAUGGACGAAAGUCUGAUGGAGCAACGCCGCGUGAACGAUGAAGGCCUUCGGGUCGUAACGUUCUGUUGUAAGGGAAGAACAAGUGCCGCAGGCAAUGGCGGCACCUUGACGGUACCUUGCGAGAAAGCCACGGCUAACUACGUGCCAGCCGCCGCCGUAA